CAGGUAUUUGGCGGUGGUUGUCACCAAAGGGCUGUUCCCGCCCAGCUGGGUUGGCAGGAAAGCCAAAUCGAUAAAGCGCAGGAGAUAAGCAGAUUCAAGAGAAGACACAGAGGGUUAUAGGGCGAUUUCCAAACAGUUCCUGCGAAUUUGCUGGAGUGGGCGAAGGGCCUGCUUGGCCGGGCCCCUCGCACGUAGGGUGGGGGCUCCUCGCCUUGCUCUCUGAGAGGUGGAGGACAUGACUGGGAGCCUCAGAGACUCUGGCUUGAGGCUCCACCACUUCUGAGUUGGGUGCCCUCGGUCUCAGUCUCCUCAUCUGUGAAAUGACAUGAGACCUGGCAUGCGCGUUGCUUAGCUGGGCUUGGCCUGAACGAAGUGUCCGUUAAGCAGCAGUCAUUGCUCUUCUAGCCCCUGCGACACCUCUUGGCAGCUGCGCAACCUCGGGUACCAUCAGAGGAGGCUGGGCUGGGCCUGCCAGUCACCCUCCCCGAGGCAGACUCCUGAGGAAACCCUGGGCCCCUUGCAGUCAGACGGUACAUGCAGCUGGGGGCUCCUGAGCCUGCUUCACACAGAACCAGAGACCAGGAGAUGCAGCGACUGGCCCAUGGCCACCAGGCAGGCCCAGCAAGGGGAGUGGCGGAAGCUGCCCCUGAGGGUCUCAUGGCAAGAGCCCCAGGCUCCCAGGCCGCCUGCCCUGGGUGCAGCACUUCACCCUUGCAGACCCCCGGUUCUCUCCAUGAGCCAAACAACCCAUGUGGCAGCAGGUUCCCGGCCUUGCUUUGCACCCCAAGCCUGCAGGGGUGACCUGGCUCCAGACUCUGCCUCCUGAGGAGAGGCUGGUACUGCCCGAAGAACCGGGAGGCUGAGGAGGAAAAGGCCACGGUCCGCAGGGCACCCUCUGAGGCAAGCUGCCCACAGGACUCUCCCAUUGACACCGUAUCCGGCUCUCCCUGGCCGGGCCUGGGGCAGCCCGUGGUGCCAGACUGUGAACCGCAUCCAGAUGAUUCCAACACCCAUUCCCUCCUUCCUGUAAAGAGCCUGGGGUGCUCGGCCUGGCCGCCCGGGGGCAGCACGAAAUGAAGGGCGGGCUGUGCCCGGAGGAGCCCACCGGCCUGUUUCCUCAUUCGCAGGAAGCGUGCGCUGCAGGUGGGUGCUUGCGGGCCUCUCCCUGGGCUCCUGGGUCCUGUCUCCCCAGCCCAGGGCCCAGCCCAGCGAGGCUCUGAGACCCUCUGCAGGCAGGGAGUCGACAGCUGCUGCCCCAAGGCCGGUCUUCCACCUUCUCUCUGCGGGGGAUCUUUCCAGCAAGUGCCUUUUUCGAGACUGAAGUUAUUCCAGCACUUCACGUCACGAAUGAAAUCCCUGGACCUGUGCUGGGCACCCUGCAGGCCCUGCUGCAGAGCGGGGUCCAACCUCAGCCCUGGGCCUUGUGGGCAGGCUUCAGGGGAGGAAUCCGGGCCUGUUGGGGAAGGGAGGCCUGCUGGCGGCCAGUGUCAGGCUGGCCACAGAGCAGGGGCCCCCACCUUCUCUCGGCGUCGCCUCAACCCUUGGCACGAGCGGGGAGCCCCCUUUAUGCCUCGCUCAACUUGGGUUUUACCUCGAGGCCCAGAGGUUCUGGCUGUUUCUGGGCCAGCUUUGAGCUGGAGUGUCACAAGUUCUGAGGACAAGCUGUGAUGCCACCUCUAGGGAUUGCCAGAGCCCAUGCUGCCCGGGAAAGGCUCCUCCCGGCACAACCUCACCCGACUGUCCUCGGUGGGGAGCCCAAGGUGCAGCAACAUUGCACCGGGCCCCAUGCUCAGCCUAUGAGGCAGGGAUGUCACAAGCCCAUUCUCUAGCUGUGGAAGCUGAGGCUCAGACUGAGCCCAGCAGCUGACAGACAUUCCAGGCUCAUGGCACCCGACCUGCCGGGGCUUGGGGGCUCUUUCCCGAGGUGUUCUCCCUGGCCCUCCUUUCGGGAACUGGGGGUACCUGGCUAGGGUGGGGGCGGGGAGGACCCAGUGGCUGCACCCUACCCGGCAGCUCCGAUAGGGCGGGGGGGUCAGACGGCCGAGAACCUUCCCCUCUGCUGGGCUGUGGCCUUCCUGCCACAGAGCCAAGGAGCAGCGGCCACAUUCUUGCUCUUUUUUUUUUUUUUAUUGCCAAAUUCAAAUUUACAAGGAAGUUCCAGUUUUCAUUUCCACCCUUGUGUUCAGUACCCACGAAGCAUGAGUCAUGCUGGCGAGAGCAGGUACUUCCCUGGAAUGGUCCCGAAGCCCAGAAAGCAUGAGGUUUCUCAAUCCCACUCCACCCCGGGACAAGAAUUAUUUACAUAUUUUCAACUCGGAGGAACAUAAGGAACCCUUACAGUUUCCGCCCCCUGUCAUCGUGACUACAUUAAAUAUUUCUUAUUUAUUGCGUCUAGAAAAGAAGGUGAGUGUUGGUCCUCACCCCGCCUCACGCCUUUUGGACCAGUGCAUCUUGAGACCUUAGGGAAAUCUAGUGUAUGUCUGUAGAGAGGUGCAUUCCGUCACUCAGCCGCUGGUUGCAGGGCAGGUGUCUGGGGGGGGCGCGGCGAGCUGCCUUCUGCAGAGAGUAGCACGCAGGGCAGGCCUGGAGGGGCAAGGGGGCACAGAGGGUCUGCUGGUGCCGCAGGACAAUCAAUACCCUCUCCCGGAUGGGUGGGGGAGCACGUGGCUGUCUGACUUUGAGGCGCCCCUGCUGGCAAACCAGAAACACAUGUGCUUUUCCCUAGCCACUUUCAAAGCUGAUAUUUGGGGGUAGAUGUGACCAGCUCUGCCCCUGACUUGGCAAACCCGGUCUCUGGAGGAUGUGGAAAUGGAGGGAUGGUGAUCUGAGUCUGGUACCCAUGUGUCACGUGGCCAUGGCCCCCGCCCCCCUCAGGCUCACCAAGAAUUCCUGGUUCUAACUCUCUCUGCCCCGGAGACCCAGUGCCUGCUGUCUAGAAGGGCCCCUCUGGAGGUGCCCCCACUGUUCGCUUUUCAGGGGUGCUCCUGAAGACACGGCUGUGCCCAGUGUUGCCCAGACAGUGGGGAUCUGGCUGCCAGCAGGCUGUGGGCGGCCCGGGACCAACCCUGCGAGCCCACCUAGGGAGAGGUCUGCCCCUGGGCCAGGCAUGGGGUGGAAGCCUGGCCUGAUUGCACCUUCUGCUCAACAGCCCAUGGAGGCCGGUCUGCGUUUAGCUCUCCCGCCUGGCGAUGCUGCCCCGGGUCCUUCCGGGCACGUGGUCCCUGCUGGCCAAGACCUUGCUCCUUCAGAGCUUGAAGGGCUGGGUCCACCUGCCUGGGCUUCUUCCUCAGAAUAAUGUCACUGGCCUUUCCUCCUUUCUGCUGCUCCAAAAUCGUUUCAAAAG
This is a long non-coding RNA of Capra hircus (goat), 3343 nucleotides long. RefSeq lists it as uncharacterized. The record is from RefSeq and is a predicted model, not a curated record. Lineage: Eukaryota; Metazoa; Chordata; Mammalia; Artiodactyla; Bovidae. The transcript is spliced from 2 exons.